GGCCGUGUGGUCUAGUAGCAUGAUUCAUCCUUCGGGUGGAUGAGGUCUCGGGUUCAAUUCCCGACUCGGCCC
RNAcentral lists this transfer RNA (72 nucleotides) under Taphrina deformans PYCC 5710. RNAcentral's name for it is "tRNA-Pro (CGG) (tRNA-Pro-CGG-1-1)". It matches the Rfam family "tRNA". Rfam says of the family: Transfer RNA (tRNA) molecules are approximately 80 nucleotides in length. The record is from RNAcentral. Lineage: Eukaryota; Fungi; Ascomycota; Taphrinomycetes; Taphrinales; Taphrinaceae.